This 253-nucleotide ribosomal RNA is filed under the name uncultured prokaryote. RNAcentral describes it as "partial 16S ribosomal RNA". It matches the Rfam family "Bacterial small subunit ribosomal RNA", at positions 524 to 776 of the family's 1533-position model. The record is from RNAcentral.
UACGUAGGGUGCAAGCAUUAAUCGGAAUUAUUGGGCGUAAAGGGCGCGUAGGCGGAUUGAUAAGUCAGAUGUGAAAUACCAAGGCUCAACCUUGGUGCUGCAUUUGAAACUAUUUUUCUAGAGGAUUGACGGAGAAAGGGGAAUUCCACGGGUAGCGGUGAAAUGCGUAGAUACGUGGAGGAACACCGGUGGCGAAAGCGCCUUUCUAGUUUUUACCUGACGCUGAGGCGCGAGAGCAAGGGGAGCAAACAGG